Molecule: ribosomal RNA, 1582 nt
Filed under: Enterobacter cloacae
Lineage: Bacteria; Pseudomonadati; Pseudomonadota; Gammaproteobacteria; Enterobacterales; Enterobacteriaceae
Description: bacterial LSU rRNA
Source: RNAcentral
AGCUGCGGCAGCGACGCUUAUGCGUUGUUGGGUAGGGGAGCGUUCUGUAAGCCGUUGAAGGUGUGCUGUGAGGCAUGCUGGAGGUAUCAGAAGUGCGAAUGCUGACAUAAGUAACGAUAAAGCGGGUGAAAAGCCCGCUCGCCGGAAGACCAAGGGUUCCUGUCCAACGUUAAUCGGGGCAGGGUGAGUCGACCCCUAAGGCGAGGCCGAAAGGCGUAGUCGAUGGGAAACAGGUUAAUAUUCCUGUACUUGGUGUUACUGCGAAGGGGGGACGGAGAAGGCUAUGUCAGCCGGGCGACGGUUGUCCCGGUUUAAGCGUGUAGGUGUGUGUUCCAGGCAAAUCCGGUUCACUUUAACACUGAGGCGUGAUGACGAGGCACUACGGUGCUGAAGUGAUAAAUGCCCUGCUUCCAGGAAAAGCCUCUAAGCAUCAGGUAACACGAAAUCGUACCCCAAACCGACACAGGUGGUCAGGUAGAGAAUACCAAGGCGCUUGAGAGAACUCGGGUGAAGGAACUAGGCAAAAUGGUGCCGUAACUUCGGGAGAAGGCACGCUGAUAUGUAGGUGAAGCCCCUGCGGGCGGAGCUGAAAUCAGUCGAAGAUACCAGCUGGCUGCAACUGUUUAUUAAAAACACAGCACUGUGCAAACACGAAAGUGGACGUAUACGGUGUGACGCCUGCCCGGUGCCGGAAGGUUAAUUGAUGGGGUUAGCGGCAACGCGAAGCUCUUGAUCGAAGCCCCGGUAAACGGCGGCCGUAACUAUAACGGUCCUAAGGUAGCGAAAUUCCUUGUCGGGUAAGUUCCGACCUGCACGAAUGGCGUAAUGAUGGCCAGGCUGUCUCCACCCGAGACUCAGUGAAAUUGAACUCGCUGUGAAGAUGCAGUGUACCCGCGGCAAGACGGAAAGACCCCGUGAACCUUUACUAUAGCUUGACACUGAACACUGGUCCUUGAUGUGUAGGAUAGGUGGGAGGCUUUGAAGCGUGGACGCCAGUCUGCGUGGAGCCGUCCUUGAAAUACCACCCUUUAAUGGCUGGUGUUCUAACGURGACCCGURAUCCGGGUUGCGGACAGUGUCUGGUGGGUAGUUUGACUGGGGCGGUCUCCUCCCAAAGAGUAACGGAGGAGCACGAAGGUUAGCUAAUCCUGGUCGGACAUCAGGAGGUUAGUGCAAUGGCAUAAGCUAGCUUGACUGCGAGAGUGACGGCUCGAGCAGGUGCGAAAGCAGGUCAUAGUGAUCCGGUGGUUCUGAAUGGAAGGGCCAUCGCUCAACGGAUAAAAGGUACUCCGGGGAUAACAGGCUGAUACCGCCCAAGAGUUCAUAUCGACGGCGGUGUUUGGCACCUCGAUGUCGGCUCAUCACAUCCUGGGGCUGAAGUAGGUCCCAAGGGUAUGGCUGUUCGCCAUUUAAAGUGGUACGCGAGCUGGGUUUAGAACGUCGUGAGACAGUUCGGUCCCUAUCUGCCGUGGGCGCUGGAGAAUUGAGGGGGGCUGCUCCUAGUACGAGAGGACCGGAGUGGACGCAUCACUGGUGUUCGGGUUGUCAUGCCAAUGGCACUGCCCGGUAGCUAAAUGCGGAA